This 21-nucleotide unclassified non-coding RNA is filed under the name Mus musculus (house mouse). RNAcentral describes it as "oocyte_clustered_small_RNA8374". Lineage: Eukaryota; Metazoa; Chordata; Mammalia; Rodentia; Muridae. The record is from RNAcentral.
UGACACACAAAAGCAUCACUA